RNAcentral lists this ribosomal RNA (287 nucleotides) under uncultured prokaryote. Its description in RNAcentral is "partial 16S ribosomal RNA". It matches the Rfam family "Bacterial small subunit ribosomal RNA", at positions 338 to 639 of the family's 1533-position model. The record is from RNAcentral.
CCUACGGGGGGCAGCAAUCAGGAAUCUUGCGCAAUGGGGGAAACCCUGACGCAGCGACGCCGCGUGGACGAUGAAGUCCUUCGGGAUGUAAAGUCCUUUUCUUGAGGACGAAGGAAGUGACGGUACUCAAGGAAUAAGCUCCGGCUAACUACGUGCCAGCAGCCGCGGUAAUAAGUAGGGAGCAAGCGUUGUCCGAAUUUACUGGGCGUAAAGCGCGCGUAGGCGGCUUAUCAAGUCCGGUGUGAAAUUUCGUGGCUUAACCACGAAACUGCAUUGGAAACUGGUAG